UUUACUAGGCAGAUGGGCUUCGAUCCCAUGACUCUGCAGUUAACAGCUACAUGCCCCAACCAACAGGCCUCUGCCUA
This 77-nucleotide transfer RNA is filed under the name Crithagra burtoni (thick-billed seedeater). RNAcentral's name for it is "tRNA-Asx". The record is from RNAcentral. Lineage: Eukaryota; Metazoa; Chordata; Aves; Passeriformes; Fringillidae.